Molecule: non-coding RNA, 67 nt
Organism: Pelobates cultripes (western spadefoot toad)
Lineage: Eukaryota; Metazoa; Chordata; Amphibia; Anura; Pelobatidae
Source: the annotation of a GenBank genome assembly
UGGCAAUGAGGAUGACUUUUCUAUAAUGAUUUAAAGUGAUUGACUUAUACGCUAUUCUGAGCUGACU